GACAAUAAAUUAGCGCGCACACAACCGAUUACAUCACAUAAACAUUCAAAUUUUAAUUCUAAGAUUCCUCGAAACCUGAUCAAGUAAGACCAAUAUCCAAUUCCCAAGUUUCUUUGGUCAAAUUGAUGAUCGUUUGAAAAAUAACUUCAAAAAAGUUGUCUUUUUCUUUUCUUCUUUUUGGGUCUUGACGACUCACUUCAUUGCUUUGAAAAGGCAAAGGCGAGAUCUUUUUCACUUUCGCAAGGCAAAGGUGAGAUCUUUUUCACUUUCACUUUAGACCCUUUUCCUUAAUCUGUAUUUUUAGUUUUGGGUUUCAAUUUUUUGUUCAUAUUCAAGAUCAUAGGGAUUAGGGAGUAAUUGCAAUCACAUUUCACAUUGAAGGUGUGUCUGGUGUCUAACUAAGACUAGUUCUUUGUGUUUGAAUCUAUUUUCUUAAAUUAUUACCGGUGUUUAUGAGUUAGUAUCGUGUCUGGUGUCUGUGUUAUUGUCAUUGGUUCAUAGAUAGAGUAAUAUUUUGAGUUUUGAUGAUUUUUUAUUUGAUUAAUGUAGGUUCAUCAAAGAUUAUGGAAGAAAUUAUGAUGGAUAUAGAUGGAUAUGGUGAGCAGCGGAUUCUGCCUGAUGCUCUUCCAUUUGCUAGAAGGUUAGUUUUUUUUUUUUUUUUUUUUUUUAAAAA
Molecule: long non-coding RNA, 673 nt
Filed under: Trifolium pratense (red clover)
Lineage: Eukaryota; Viridiplantae; Streptophyta; Magnoliopsida; Fabales; Fabaceae
Description: long non-coding RNA (TPRA_LNC008163)
Source: RNAcentral